This is a non-coding RNA of Schistosoma mansoni, 46 nucleotides long. Lineage: Eukaryota; Metazoa; Platyhelminthes; Trematoda; Strigeidida; Schistosomatidae. The record is from Rfam.
GCACUGCUGAGGAGUCCCACAAUAGGACGAAAGGUCCGUCCAGUGC